GCUGAAGUCCAACCCCCCUAAACAAACAAAUAGACAAACAAACAAGACACGAAGACAGUGGGGGACUGAAGGGGGAGAAGUUAAACUGUGGAAGGAUGACGGUAUGCCAAUGAUAUGGUGCGUGCACUCAUCAAUAUCACCGCUAACGGAGGAAGGAAAGAAGUUGAAACCAAUGAGGAUGACCUCAACAGGAGAGAGCCUCCAAGUCCCAGUACUAGAUGCAGUUAAAGGCACUUGUGCGAUUAUUUUCAAUUAUCAAGUAGUAGAGCUGAGCAAUUAAUAAAAUUUAGAUUUAGACCUUCAAAGAUUAUAAAAAAGUUUUGAGAUAAAACAAUUUUCAAAUC
Non-coding RNA from Danio rerio (zebrafish), 344 nucleotides. The record is from Ensembl. Lineage: Eukaryota; Metazoa; Chordata; Actinopteri; Cypriniformes; Danionidae.